Ostrinia nubilalis (European corn borer) is the source of this 948-nucleotide long non-coding RNA. RefSeq lists it as uncharacterized. Lineage: Eukaryota; Metazoa; Arthropoda; Insecta; Lepidoptera; Crambidae. The record is from RefSeq and is a predicted model, not a curated record. The transcript is spliced from 2 exons.
GUGCAAGGUAAGGGUACUGUCAAGAUAUUAGCAUGUAACGAUGAUAUUACGCGAAAAAUCCAAUUUGAAGAUACGUUGUUAGUUCCUGAUCUACGUAGUAACUUAAUUUCGAUUUCUAAACUUACUGAUCGAGGUUGUAUAGUCACUUUUAAACGUGAUGUAGCAUAUGCAACUAAGGAUGGUGAAGUUAAGUUGACUGCUGAUCGUAGAGGUAAUUUGUAUUACCUGAGAGAGCAGGAUGCUUCGGCAUCUGUAGUAUCAGAUAAGGAUGUGGAUUUGUGUAGAUGGCAUGAGCGUAUGGGACAUUUGAAUGCUAGGGAUCUUAUGAAAGUACUGAAGAAAUCGGGUAUAGACGCCACCAAGUCUGAUACUGAAUUGCGCGAUUGUGAUGUGUGUGCUAAGGGAAAGAUGGUUGCGUUGCCUUUUGUGAAGUCCAGUCAGCCAUGUGACGAAAAGUUAAAAAUAAUUUAUUCUGAUGUGGUAGGCCCAAUGAGAGUUCAAUCAAAUGCGGGAAACAAAUAUUUUGUUACAUUUAUUGAUGAUUGUACUCGUUGGUGUGAAGUUUUUAUGUUGAAAAAUAAAAGUGACGUCUUGUCAAAGUUUAAAAUAUUUAAAUGUCAGAUCGAAAAUUUGACAGGUAAACAAAUAAAAUAUUUCCAUUCCGAUAAUGGCAAGGAAUUUGUGAAUAGUGAUUUUUCGAAAUUUUUACAAGAAAAUGGAAUAAAAAGGAGGUUGACUACGCCGUAUUCACCGCAGAGUAAUGGAAUUGCAGAACGGAUGAAUCGCACCUUACUGGAGAAGGCAAGAUAACAUUCGGUGCGAAAGUUCAUGUUUUGGAAAAGGAGCCAGGAAAGGAUAAGUUCGCAGCACGAAGUUCUCCCGGCAUUUUUGUGGGCUACCCGGCUGAAUCUGGUGGCUAUAGGGUGUGGAUAUCCGAGAAAAGAAAAA